This 377-nucleotide unclassified non-coding RNA is filed under the name uncultured bacterium. RNAcentral's name for it is "contains 16S-23S intergenic spacer region". The record is from RNAcentral.
UCCGGUUUGUCACCGGCAGUCUCCUAUGAGUCCCCGCCUUUAAGCGCUGGCAACAUGGAACGAGGGUUGCGCUCGUUGCGGGACUUAACCCAACAUCUCACGACACGAGCUGACGACAACCAUGCACCACCUGUGAACCGGCCCCAAAGGGGAAGGACUGUUUCCAGCCCGGUCCGGCCCAUGUCAAGCCUUGGUAAGGUUCUUCGCGUCGCGUCGAAUUAAACCACAUGCUCCACUGCUUGUGCGGGCCCCCGUCAAUUCCUUUGAGUUUUAAUCUUGCGACCGUACUCCCCAGGCGGAGAGCUUAAUGCGUUAGCUGCGCCACUGAAGAGUAAACUCUCCAACGGCUAGCUCUCAUAGUUUACGGCGUGGACUAC